CGUGUAGGCGGCGAUUUAAGUCUGGAGUGAAAGUCCUGCUUUUAAGGUGGGAAUUGCUUUGGAUACUGGAUGGCUAGAGUGCAGGAGAGGUUAGUGGAAUUCCCAGUGUAGCGGUGAAAUGCGUAGAGAUUGGGAGGAACACCAGUGGCGAAGGCGACUAACUGGACUGUAACUGACGCUGAGGCGCGAAAGUGUGGGGGAGCAAACA
Molecule: ribosomal RNA, 208 nt
Filed under: uncultured bacterium
Lineage: Bacteria
Description: partial 16S ribosomal RNA
Rfam family: Bacterial small subunit ribosomal RNA
Source: RNAcentral